AGUGAACGCUGGCGGUAUGCCUAACACAUGCAAGUCGAACGGCAGCACAGUAAGAUCUCGCCCUUACGGUUAGCGAGUGGCGGGCGGGUGAGGCGUACAUCGCCAUCUACUUUUUCGUGGGGGAUAACGGAGGGCAACUGACGCUACUACCGCAUACUACCUACGGCUGAAUUCAGAGGAGCUUCGCACCUUUCGCGACUGAAUGAGCCGAUGUCGGAUUAGCUAGUUGGCUGGGUAAAGGCCCACCAAGGCAACGAUCCGUAGCUGGCCUGAGAGGAUGAUCAGCCACACUGGAACUGAGACACGGUCCAGACUCCUACGGGAGGCAGCAGUGGGGAAUAUUGCGCAAUGGGCGCAAGCCUGACCCAGCCAUACCGCGUGAGUGAAGAAGGCCUUCGGAUCGUAAAGCCCUUUUGUUGGGAAAGAACAGAAGCAGGUUAAUACGCCGCUGUCCUGACGGUACCCAAAGAAUAAGCACCGGCUAACUUCGUG
Molecule: ribosomal RNA, 492 nt
Filed under: uncultured bacterium
Lineage: Bacteria
Description: partial 16S ribosomal RNA
Rfam family: Bacterial small subunit ribosomal RNA
Source: RNAcentral